This 256-nucleotide ribosomal RNA is filed under the name uncultured Gardnerella sp. RNAcentral describes it as "partial 16S ribosomal RNA". It matches the Rfam family "Bacterial small subunit ribosomal RNA", at positions 99 to 356 of the family's 1533-position model. Lineage: Bacteria; Bacillati; Actinomycetota; Actinomycetes; Bifidobacteriales; Bifidobacteriaceae. The record is from RNAcentral.
CGAACGGGUGAGUAAUGCGUGACCAACCUGCCCCAUGCUCCAGAAUAGCUCUUGGAAACGGGUGGUAAUGCUGGAUGCUCCAACUUGACGCAUGUCUUGUUGGGAAAGUGUUUAGUGGCAUGGGAUGGGGUCGCGUCCUAUCAGCUUGUAGGCGGGGUAAUGGCCCACCUAGGCUUCGACGGGUAGCCGGCCUGAGAGGGCGGACGGCCACAUUGGGACUGAGAUACGGCCCGGACUCCUACGGGAGGCAGCAGCG